UACAGGGGGUGCAAACGUUGCUCGGAAUUAUUGGGCGUAAAGGGCGCGUAGGCGGCCACGCAAGUCUGAUGUGAAAUCCCUCGGCUCAACCGAGGAACUGCAUCCGAAACUGCGAGGCUCGAGUCCUGGAGAGGGUAGUGGAAUUCCCAGUGUAGCGGUGAAAUGCGUAGAUACUGGGAAGAACACCGGAGGCGAAGGCGGAUUGCUGGGCCGACACUGACGCUGAGGCGCGAAAGCCAGGGGAGCAAACGGG
This 253-nucleotide ribosomal RNA is filed under the name uncultured bacterium. Its description in RNAcentral is "partial 16S ribosomal RNA". It matches the Rfam family "Bacterial small subunit ribosomal RNA", at positions 524 to 776 of the family's 1533-position model. The record is from RNAcentral.